RNAcentral lists this ribosomal RNA (450 nucleotides) under uncultured Glomeromycotina. RNAcentral's name for it is "SSU rRNA". It matches the Rfam family "Eukaryotic small subunit ribosomal RNA", at positions 569 to 1023 of the family's 1831-position model. Lineage: Eukaryota; Fungi; Glomeromycota. The record is from RNAcentral.
AGCAGCCGCGGUAAUUCCAGCUCCAAUAGCGUAUAUUAAAGUUGUUGCAGUUAAAAAGCUCGUAGUUGAAUUUCGGGGUCAGUAGUUUGGUCGUGCCAAUGGUAUGUACUGGGCUCACUGAUUCCUCCUUCCUGAUGAACUGUAAUGCCAUUAAUUUGGUGUUGCAGGGAAACUGGACUGUUACUUUGAAAAAAUUAGAGUGUUUAAAGCAAGCUAACGCUUGAAUACAUUAGCAUGGAAUAAUGAAAUAGGACGUUCGAUCCUAUUUUGUUGGUUUCUAGGAUUGACGUAAUGAUUAAUAGGGAUAGUUGGGGGCAUUAGUAUUCAAUUGUCAGAGGUGAAAUUCUUGGAUUUAUUGAAGACUAACUACUGCGAAAGCAUUUGCCAAGGAUGUUUUCAUUAAUCAAGAACGAAAGUUAGGGGAUCGAAGACGAUCAGAUACCGUCGUAG